AAAGCAGGCUGCAAUUCCUGUGCUUCCUCCUGUGGGAGUGCUGGCAUUCCCCUGCUGAGAGCAACCCUGUUAACACUGCUGCUUCACCUGCUCUGUGGUGAAACCCUUUGUGCUUAACAUGUACAAAC
Molecule: non-coding RNA, 128 nt
Organism: Calypte anna (Anna's hummingbird)
Lineage: Eukaryota; Metazoa; Chordata; Aves; Apodiformes; Trochilidae
Source: Rfam